RNAcentral lists this ribosomal RNA (444 nucleotides) under uncultured bacterium. Its description in RNAcentral is "bacterial SSU rRNA". It matches the Rfam family "Bacterial small subunit ribosomal RNA", at positions 331 to 794 of the family's 1533-position model. The record is from RNAcentral.
CCAGACUCCUGGAGGCAGCAGUGGGGAAUAUUGCACAAUGGGGGAAACCCUGAUGCAGCGACGCCGCGUGAGUGAAGAAGUAUUUCGGUAUGUAAAGCUCUAUCAGCAGGGAAGAAAAUGACGGUACCUGACUAAGAAGCCCCGGCUAACUACGUGCCAGCAGCCGCGGUAAUACGUAGGGGGCAAGCGUUAUCCGGAUUUACUGGGUGUAAAGGGAGCGUAGACGGCAGCACAAGUCUGGAGUGAAAUCCCGGGGCUUAACCCCGGAACUGCUUUGGAAACUGUGCGGCUGGAGUGCAGGAGGGGUAAGCGGAAUUCCUAGUGUAGCGGUGAAAUGCGUAGAUAUUAGGAGGAACACCGGUGGCGAAGGCGGCUUACUGGACUGUAACUGACGUUGAGGCUCGAAAGCGUGGGGAGCAAACAGGAUUAGAUACCCCUGUAAGA